This 468-nucleotide ribosomal RNA is filed under the name uncultured bacterium. RNAcentral describes it as "partial 16S ribosomal RNA". It matches the Rfam family "Bacterial small subunit ribosomal RNA", at positions 28 to 507 of the family's 1533-position model. The record is from RNAcentral.
GACGAACGCUGGCGGCGUGCUUAACACAUGCAAGUCGAACGGAAAGGCCCUGCUUUCGUGGGGUGCUCGAGUGGCGAACGGGUGAGUAACACGUGAGUAACCUGCCCUUGACUUUGGGAUAACUUCAGGAAACUGGGGCUAAUACCGGAUAGGAGCUCCUGCUGCAUGGUGGGGGUUGGAAAGUUUCGGCGGUUGGGGAUGGACUCGCGGCUUAUCAGCUUGUUGGUGGGGUAGUGGCUUACCAAGGCUUUGACGGGUAGCCGGCCUGAGAGGGUGACCGGCAACAUUGGGACUGAGAUACGGCCCAGACUCCUACGGGAGGCAGCAGUGGGGAAUAUUGCACAAUGGGCGGAAGCCUGAUGCAGCAACGCCGCGUGCGGGAUGACGGCCUUCGGGUUGUAAACCGCUUUCGCCUGUGACGAAGCGUGAGUGACGGUAAUGGGUAAAGAAGCACCGGCUAACUACGUG